CCUACGGGAGGCAGCAGUGAGGAAUAUUGGUCAAUGGACGAGAGUCUGAACCAGCCAAGUAGCGUGAAGGAUGACUGCCCUAUGGGUUGUAAACUUCUUUUAUAUGGGAAUAAAACGUUCCACGCGUGCGCUUUUGUAUGUACCAUAUGAAUAAGGAUCGGCUAACUCCGUGCCAGCAGCCGCGGUAAUACGGAGGAUCCGAGCGUUAUCCGGAUUUAUUGGGUUUAAAGGGUGCGUAGGUGGGUUGUUAAGUCAGGUGUGAAAGUUUGCGGCUCAACCGUAAGAGUGCAGUUGAAACUGGCGGUCUGGAGAUGGCGAGAGGUAUGCGGAAUGCGCGGUGUAGCGGUGAAAUGCUUAGAUAUUGCGCAGAACUCCGAUUGCGAAGGCAGCAUACCGGCGGCGAUCUGACGCUGAGGCACGAAAGCGUGGGUAUCGAACAGGAUUAGAUACCCCUGUAGUC
Molecule: ribosomal RNA, 460 nt
Filed under: uncultured bacterium
Lineage: Bacteria
Description: partial 16S ribosomal RNA
Rfam family: Bacterial small subunit ribosomal RNA
Source: RNAcentral